UUAACCUACGGGACGCAGCAGUGGGGGAUAUUGCACAAUGGGGGGAACCCUGAUGCAGCGACGCCGCGUGAACGAAGAAAUAUUUCGGUAUGUAAAGUUCUAUCAGCAGGGAAGAAAAUGACAGUACCUGACCAAGAAGCCCCGGCUAACUACGUGCCAGCAGCCGCGGUAAUACGUAGGGGGCGAGCGUUAUCCGGAUUUACUGGGUGUAAAAGGAGCGUAGACGGCAGUGCAAGUCUGGAGUGAAAGGCGGGGGCUCAACCCCCGGACUGCUCUGGAAACUGUACGGCUGGAGUGCAGGAGAG
Molecule: ribosomal RNA, 305 nt
Filed under: uncultured bacterium
Lineage: Bacteria
Description: bacterial SSU rRNA
Rfam family: Bacterial small subunit ribosomal RNA
Source: RNAcentral